AUCAUUCGCAUAACGAAUACGAAUGCAAAUAUUCGCAACAUCCUUCGUACAUACAUAUAUAGGUAAAUUGUAAACUGGCCAGCGGCACUUCUGAGGGUUCUCUUAAUUGGAUGGACCUCUAACAUGGUUGGUACAUUUUAAUCGCAUAUAUUUUUUACGCCAGACUGACCGAAACAGAGCUGAAGGCCGAAAAAUGAAUACGUGAACAUGUAAAUAUGUAUGUAUGUAUGUAUGUGCAUAUGUAUGUGUCGCAGCACGCCCUUUCUACGGUAUAAUGUCGACGCUUAAACAUGCAUAUGUACAUAUGUCUGCGCAUCUCUAUGUACAUACAUAUGUACGAACAUGAAGCCAAAGUACAUACAUGGAUGCAGUUAUUACAUUUCUUCUUUGUAUCCGUACUAUUUGUUUGUGUAAAAUUACCGCACUGCGUCAUUCUUCUUUGCCUUUAUAUGCAUAUUCGCAUGAGCUUUUGCAAUUAACCUUUGCGCAUCGAGAACGAUAGGUUUAUGUAGCUCUGAGCGCGCAUAAUUGAAGCUGUUAGCCGUCGUCAAGCAAAGAAGAAGGACACACUGCGAAAUAAACCAGCCUUUGCGCCAAUCCAGCCCGAUUAAGGUUAAAUUCGCAAGCGUUUUUAUUAACUGAGAACGACGGUUAACAGUAUGUAUGUAUGUACCCCCCAGUAGAAAUCGGUUGUAUGCAUUCGUGAAGAA
Molecule: long non-coding RNA, 710 nt
Organism: Rhagoletis pomonella (apple maggot)
Lineage: Eukaryota; Metazoa; Arthropoda; Insecta; Diptera; Tephritidae
Exons: 2
Source: RefSeq, a predicted model, not a curated record